GCCAGCAUGGUUUAGUGGUUUGAGCACUGGACUGCAACUCUGGAGACCAGGGUUUGAAUCCCUCCACCGACA
Molecule: non-coding RNA, 72 nt
Organism: Phrynosoma platyrhinos (Desert horned lizard)
Lineage: Eukaryota; Metazoa; Chordata; Lepidosauria; Squamata; Phrynosomatidae
Source: the annotation of a GenBank genome assembly